This 421-nucleotide ribosomal RNA is filed under the name uncultured bacterium. Its description in RNAcentral is "bacterial SSU rRNA". It matches the Rfam family "Bacterial small subunit ribosomal RNA", at positions 355 to 774 of the family's 1533-position model. The record is from RNAcentral.
UGGGGAAUUUUGGACAAUGGACGCAAGUCUGAACCAGCCAUGCCGCGUGAAGGAUGAAGGCGUUCUGCGUUGUAAACUUCUUUUAUCAGGGAAGAAACCUAUUUUUUCUAAGAUAGUUGACGGUACCUGAGGAAUAAGCACCGGCUAACUCCGUGCCAGCAGCCGCGGUAAUACGGAGGGUGCAAGCGUUAUCCGGAUUUACUGGGUUUAAAGGGUGUGUAGGCGGGCAUUUAAGUCUGGGGUGAAAUCUCCGAGCUCAACUCGGAAACUGCCUUGGAUACUAUUGCCUUGAAUUAUGUUGAGGUUGGCGGAAUAUAACAUGUAGCGGUGAAAUGCAUAGAUAUGUUAUAGAACACCGAUUGCGAAGGCAGCUGACUAAGCAUAUAUUGACGCUGAGGCACGAAAGCGUGGGUAGCGAACA